GAUGAACGCUGGCGGCGUGCCUAAUACAUGCAAGUCGAGCGAACAGACGAGGAGCUUGCUCCUCUGACGUUAGCGGCGGACGGGUGAGUAACACGUGGAUAACCUACCUAUAAGACUGGGAUAACUUCGGGAAACCGGAGCUAAUACCGGAUAAUAUAUUGAACCGCAUGGUUCAAUAGUGAAAGACGGUUUUGCUGUCACUUAUAGAUGGAUCCGCGCCGCAUUAGCUAGUUGGUAAGGUAACGGCUUACCAAGGCAACGAUGCGUAGCCGACCUGAGAGGGUGAUCGGCCACACUGGAACUGAGACACGGUCCAGACUCCUACGGGAGGCAGCAGUAGGGAAUCUUCCGCAAGGGGCGAAAGCCGGACGGAGCAACGCCGCGUGAGUGAUGAAGGUCUGCGGAUCGUAAAACUCUGUUAUUAGGGAAGAACAAAUGUGUAAGUAACUAUGCACGUCUUGACGGUACCUAAUCAGAAAGCCACGGCUAACUACG
This 495-nucleotide ribosomal RNA is filed under the name uncultured bacterium. RNAcentral describes it as "partial 16S ribosomal RNA". It matches the Rfam family "Bacterial small subunit ribosomal RNA", at positions 28 to 505 of the family's 1533-position model. The record is from RNAcentral.